GGCGAACGCUGGCGGCGUGCCUAAUACAUGCAAGUCGAGCGAGCGGAACCAACAGAUUUACUUCGGUAAUGACGUUGGGAAAGCGAGCGGCGGAUGGGUGAGUAACACGUGGGGAACCUGCCCCUAAGUCUGGGAUACCAUUUGGAAACGGCUGCUAAUACCGCAUAAUGCAUCGGAUUCGCAUGUUUCUGAUGCCAAAGAUUUUAUCGCUGAAAGAUGAGCUCGCGUCUGAUUAGCUAGUUGGCGGGGUAACGGCCCACCAAGGCGACGAUCAGUAGCCGGACUGAGAGGUUGAACGGCCACAUUGGGACUGAGACACGGCCCAG
Molecule: ribosomal RNA, 326 nt
Filed under: uncultured bacterium
Lineage: Bacteria
Description: bacterial SSU rRNA
Rfam family: Bacterial small subunit ribosomal RNA
Source: RNAcentral